UCCUACGGGAGGCAGCAGUGGGGAAUAUUGCACAAUGGGGGAAACCCUGAUGCAGCAACGCCGCGUGAGUGAAGAAGUAUUUCGGUAUGUAAAGCUCUAUCAGCAGGGAAGAAAAUGACGGUACCCGACCAAGAAGCCCCGGCUAACUACGUGCCAGCAGCCGCGGUAAUACGUAGGGGGCGAGCGUUAUCCGGAAUUACUGGGUGUAAAGGGAGCGUAGACGGCGAGGUAAGCCUGAAGUGGAAGCCCGCGGCCCAACCGCGGAACUGCUUUGGGAACUGUUUUGCUGGAGUAUGGGAGGGGUA
This 305-nucleotide ribosomal RNA is filed under the name uncultured bacterium. RNAcentral's name for it is "bacterial SSU rRNA". It matches the Rfam family "Bacterial small subunit ribosomal RNA", at positions 337 to 659 of the family's 1533-position model. The record is from RNAcentral.